GUCCGGCCCAAAAUAUGUUUUCUCCGAACGGACCAUUAGAGUGAACAAGCCUGCAGUCUCCGACGCGCUGUCUCGCCCACGCACGUGCAUACGCCGCUAAUCUUCCAUCCCAUUCUAACGGCGGUUCUCCCACGCGCGCUCGUACGAGGUUAUGUGCGUAUAGAAACUCAAUGCUCGCUCUGUUUACUUUGUUACGAUGUCGUCUUCUCCCCCACCUGAAGGAGGAAUGUUUUCCGGUUAACGACAGAGCUGAUGAAGACAGAAAUCGUGAAUUUGGCGCUGACGGAGAGCUGACGGAGGUUUGUUUAGACGACUCGCUGUGAUUGAUUUGGGACGUCGCGGCACAGAGCUGAAGGAGGAAUAACGUAAUGGCGAUGAAUAUGGGAAACGGAGCUAGUAAUUCCCGUUGACGAAGCUCCAUUUUUCUAAAUAGAAAAGAAACAAAAGAGGGUAUAAUAUUUUUACAGGAGAGUUAAUUACUCAAUUGCAGGUGAAGGUGUAAUUAACUCUCCGAUAGGAUUUGUUGAGAGGGAAAACGAAUCAAUAAGUAAUUGUUUCUAUUUAUGAACGUCAAAUGUAAAUAUAUCGUUUGCAUGAGUCAACGCACGGUGAAUAUUGAAUACCGGAAUGCCGCUAAUGUUAAGUAUUGCCUAAAUGUGGUUUUAAUUUUAGUCAAAACUUAACAUUAAGGUUAAAGUAAAGGUGAGAUAUUGUUUGUUAUCCAAAAUUUGAUCCGUAAUCUGCAUUGAUCUAUAUAUAUUUCAAAGGUUAUACUAACGAUCGAUGACAACUUUCUGUUCCGAUAAGUUUGACGAUUAUGAAAAUCAUUCGAGUUUCUUUAAUUAAAAAUUGAUGCAAAGUGACUAUUAGCUUAUAUAUAUCUUUGGUAUAGUUUCCUUUAAGCUAACCAUUGGUUUAGUGUGGUUUGGUUUCCUUUUGCUUAACCAUUAGAGUAUAAAUACAUAACAAUGUAUGCUUUCUACGGUUAAUGAGAAAGUUUAUUUUCAUCAUCUUCUUUUCUUCAAUAUGGUAUCAGAGCCAAAAUGGAUCCUCCAUUGAUUCUGUUACUCGAGCUUUCUUCUUCACCAUGAGUGUUUCGAUUUCGCAGUAUCUUUCUGCUCUCUGUACUCGCUACGUGAUUCUUCUGCUCGAGUUUCUGGGAUUCGUUUCGACCGUUUUCUUCUUUGUUGUUCUUCGAUCAAGCAAACUGGUUCAUCAUUCAUUGUUCUGCUUGUGUACGUCGAUGAUAUCUUGAUAGCUUCGAACAAUGAUGAGGAUCUUACGGCACUUAAGAAGAUCUUGCAUAAGGCUUUUAUCAUCAAAGAUUUGGGGAGACCAAAGUUUUUUUUGGGAUUGGAGAUAGCUCGGAACUCUACUGGAAUCUCGGUAUGUCAAAGAAAGUAUGCUCUAGAUAUCCUUGAAGCUACAUGCAUGCUGGCUUGUAAGCCAAGUUCUAUACCGAUGGAUCCAACACUCAAGCUUACUCGCACAUCUGGAAAGCCUUUGAAGAACAUUACUCAAUACAGAGAGUUGAUUGGUCGUCUUUUAUAUUUGACCAUCACCAGACCAGAUAUCACUUAUGCAGUGAAUAAUCUGAGUCAGUUUCUCUCUUGUCCUACUGACGUUCAUCUGCAGGCUGCGUACAAGGUCUUGCGGUAUAUCAAGUCAAAUCCGGGUCAAGGCUUGUAUUAUGCUGCAGAUACAGAGCUCUGUCUCAAUGCUUUUACUGAUGCAGACUGGGCUACUUGUCCUGAAACACGACGAUCUAUCUCUGGUUACUGUGUUUAUCUUGGGACUUCGCUUAUCACAUGGAAAUCUAAGAAGCAACAGACUGUGAGCCGUAGUAGUACUGAAGCUGAAUACAGAAGCAUGGCGUUGGCUACGUGUGAACUGCUUUGGCUUGCUCAGUUACUGAGGGACUUCAAGGUCACAGUUACAGCACCAGCAAAGUUGUUAUGUGAUAACAAAUCAGCUAUGCAUAUCGCUUCUAAUCCGGUCUUUCAUGAGCGUACGAAGCACGUUGAGAUUGACUACCAUACUGUCAGAGAUCAACUGAAGCGGGGGUUCCUGAAGCUCUUUCACGUCUCUUCAUCAAAUCAGCAUGCUGAUAUACUCACCAAGCCUUUGCAUCCGGGACUUUUUCACUCUCUUCUUGCUCGGAUGUCACUUUCAAACCUCUUUAAGCCACAGUCUUAAACGGUUUGAGGGGGGUAUAUUAGCUUAUAUAUAUAUAUCUUUGGUAUAGUUUCCUUUAAGCUAACCAUUGGUUUAGUGUGGUUUGGUUUCCUUUUGCUUAACCAUUAGAGUAUAAAUACAUAACAAUGUAUGCUUUAUACGGUUAAUGAGAAAGUUUAUUUUCAUCAUCUUCUUUUCUUCAAUAGUGACCAUAACUAUUGAACUUCGUUAGAUAUAAUGUCAAGCUAUCACACUACAUCAACCACAGUGGUGAUCUUCGCAAAUAGCCAAAAUAACCACUUCAUCGGUUUGUCCCACAACAUACAGAAAACUCAAUUUACAAAUAAACUACAAUAUCUAACCGAGUGAAGACAACAUUCUAAUAUCUCUUGUUCAAGAUAAUUUGGUGAUAAAGUAGAUUAAACCCAAAAUUACUAGUAGUAGUAUUAAAGAAGUAUUCAACCCAAUAAAAUAAAUAAAAAUCGGACCACUGUCUCUAACGUGGCGCUGGAUCUUCGUUUUUGUCUGUUUAAGAAAUAAUAACACGAAAAUUCAUGUGCCCUAUUAGCCUGUAUAAUACACAUUUCCACAGUACUUUACCAAGAUUUACACAAAAAAAUAUUAAUUAGAUUUUGGACGUACUCUACCUUCCUUAAGAUCUACUAGUAUUGUAGAGUACUAGUUUCUAUAGCAUGGUCUUGAAACUUGUUUUCAUAAUCUUGAUCCGACUUAUUCCGUAAACUUGUUUGCAUAAUAAUCUUUAUAAAUCAAAUAGUAGUAUUAAAAAGUUCCAGUAAUUGUCAUUUGUUGGUUCACUAAAAGUAAAUGAAAGCUUUUGGCUAAUUAAAAAAGAUCAUGCACGCUCCCUUUGGCCCAAGAGUUGAAAAACAUUUAAGACGCUAAUAAUACAGCCGACAACACGUGAAGUUUUAUCAACACGUAUUUAAACUCAACCGCUAAAGAUUCACUUGUCCGAAAAACAAAGGUCUCGUCUAAUACAUGAAAUUUGAAAAAAGGAAACAAAGUACAUUAUCCGUACUGGAUCGGGUCGGGUCAGGAUUAAGCACAUCCUCUUGGAGCAAACCCGACUCGGGAACCCAUCAAAUCGUAAACGACCCGGAAACCCUGCUGCUGGAUGUUCCCGAUGAUGGAUAGCCCGCUCAUCGUACCGGCAAAUGCAAAGCAGAACUUGCCGUUAGUAUCCACCGGAAUCAGAUAAUUAGUCGCCGGAAGUGACACGUCAGCUCCACGGAAGUGUAGAACCACCGUCGGAACUUUAACCUCGUUUUGAUGAGAGAGAUCGAAACACGUAUCGAAGAGAGAGUAGUCCGGCGCUCGUUUCAAACUCCUGGCUCUGACCCGGAACGCGUCUCUCAUAGCAACGUAAGCGGGUCGGACCAGCCGGGUCACAGAGGUACCCGAGUCGAUAAUGACUCCACCGUUACCGAUCGGGUCGAGUUUGAAAAGAGAAGCGGCUACGCCGGGGACGCGCGUCCCUCCGACGCUUAUUCCGAGCAGCUCGACGUAGUAGAAUGUAUCAAGCUUCGGAUUCGAUAAGCUAGUUUACUCCUUGGGCAGAUCCUUAGCUUCGUAAUGUUUUGCAGUGUAUCCGAUCUACUCGACUAUAUCAACCCAAGCCAUAACGCAAAAGGGAAACAGAGUGUGGCAGCGAAGAGGAAGAGCUAUAUGAAGGUUUUACUUCUAUUUCUUUCGACAUUUCUCCACUUUAAUGGUUAAAAAUGCUUACAUGAUUGGACCUGUGUUAUUGUGUAGCUAAAGGAAAAAUCCAAUCAGAACGUUGUUUCUGAACAGUUAGCAGAAACCCCAAGGGAAAAUCAAAAGGAAAUGUCUGAAGAGGAGACAGAAGCAACUGGAUCGGAAGAUGGUCAAUCGAGCGAUGCGAAUCAGGAGACAAUUCUUGCAUCAGCUGAAGAACCACCUUCUCCUCCAGUCAUUGAUGAGGCUACUGUGGAUAAUAGUAAUUCAAUUACAUCUGCUGAAGUUUCAACUGAGACACAACACCCUGAUGGUAGUGAAGAUGGAUGGCAGCCGGUGCAUAGACCGAGAUCUGCUGGAUCAUAUGGUCGCCGGCUGAAGCAACGACGAGCAUCAAUUGGAAAGGUAUAUACCUAUCAGAAGAAAAAUGUUGAAGCUGAUAACGAUAACCCUGUUCUCCAGAAUGCUACUCAGCCGAACUCCAAAUACUACGUUCUGAAGAAGCGUACAGCGUCCUCUGCAAACUAUGGAGAUCAUCAUUCUCCCGGUAUGACAACUCAAGGCACCAAAUUUGGCAGGAAGGUAGUUAAAACCUUGGCAUAUCGGGUUAAAUCAAUGCAGCCGUCUUCUGAAAACCCCAAAACUUCAGCUGAAACAUCAGAAGAAGAUGGGUUGAAGACAGAUGCUUCUCCUGCUGUGCCAUCUGGUCUGUCUAGUAAUGUGCAAAAUGAGGCAUACCCGAAAAACUCUGUUGUAAGUCUUGGAAAAUCUCCAUCCUACAAGGAAGUAGCAUUGGCGCCACCUGGUUCCAUUGCCAAGUAUCAAGUCUGGGCUCCACAAGCCGAAGCUUCAGAUAAGCAAGAGGAGAACAAUUCUGAAGAGGGCACAUCGGUUGAGCUUACAAGGGAUGAGCAGAUGAUUACAGUGUCAGAGGAAGAGGUAAAAAAUGAAAUUUCUGCGGACGCAGAGUCUAGCAAACCUCAAGGCAAAGAAGCGAUCAAAGUAGAGUUACAAUCGUCUGAAGUGGAAUUCAAAGGGAACAAUCUGAAUGAAAAUGAAGAAUCUGGUGGGGGCAUUCAGGUGGAAGAACCAGUACUUGAAGCUAACGAAGGUGUAACCGAUAUGAUUCAUUCCACCACAGAGCAAGAAUUGAAAGAUCAGCUGGCCGCUGAUUCCGAUGAUCUGAAGGAAAAACUGGGAAUCUCUGCUACAGACUCCAGCGACGCCCCGCGAGAGUUACUGUUACCUAACAAGAAGUUAUCAGCUUCAGCUGUUCCAUUCAACCCAUCAUCACCUCCAAGUAUCAUACGUCCUACUCCAAUAGGCAUGAAUAUUGGACCGUCGUGGCCAGUGAACAUGACUCUUCAUCACGGACCUCCUCCUUUCCCAUCACCUCCUGCAACUCCAAAUUUGAUGCAGCCUAUGUCCUUUGUAUACCCUCCUCCUUACACUCAAUCAAUCCCCACAAGUACUUAUCCUGUAACCAGUGGUCCUUUCCAUCCCAAUCAGUUCCCAUGGCCUCAUAUGUCGGAGUUUGUACCAAGAACGGUUUGGCCCGCAUGCCAUCCCGUUGAGUUUUCCCCUCCACACAUGAUCGCUCCCGAGCCAAUAGCUUCGACUGUCUUAGAGCCAACCGUCAUUCUACCAACUGAUAUUGAGACUUCAGGUGUGGAAGAAGGCAAGCAAGAUGUGGCGGCAACCGCGGGUGAAACUAUGGAUUCUGUUAAUCAUGUGAAUGUGUUGGCUAGCAGUGAAAUGGAGAAUGGAAACAAGAAAUUUGAGGAAGGCGAGAAGACGUUUAGCAUUUUGUUAAGAGGAAGGAGAAACAGGAAACAAACACUGAGAAUGCCGAUCAGUUUGCUUAACAGGCCUUAUGAUUCUCAACCGUUCAAGAUUGCUUAUAGCAGAGUCAUCAGAGGCAGCGAGGCUCCCAAGUCCGCGGCUUGAAACCAAAGACUCAGCAUCGUCGAUGAAAUUCAUCACUCACACAUCUCUCUCUGAUCCUUGCUGUUUCUUAGGGGACAGUAUAAAAGGUUAGCUUCUUGGUUGAAUCUUUCUAUAUAUAUAUAUAUACACAUGUAUAAUGCAUAUAUGCUAACUUGAUGAUGUCUUCAUUUCAGGUAAUUUCGUUAUCAGUGAAGCUGUGGCUUGUGAUAGUCUCAGAAUGAUUUGAUCUGGAUUCGAAAGAAGAGAGGUUGAAGAGGGAAAAAAGCUAGAACUAUUCUUUUUCUUUUAUUCCAUCUGAGGUGCUGAAGUAUUGUUUUCUGGGUUUUAAUUUUUAAUUCAGCCAAUAAAAAAAUUAGGAAAUUUUGGACAUAAUUUUUUUUCAUAUCCCCUUGUGGCCAUGUUAAAAAAACUUUUGUCAUCUCUUGUUCACUUUUGCGUAUUUGUCAUCAAUUACAUUACAUCUAUCUAAUGGCCUGGCUACGAAAUAUCGUAAUUAUAAUUUAUAAACUUGUUUAUUGAAUCAGUUAUUAGAUGAUAAUACCUCUGAAUAAACCCAAGAUAAGUUUUUUCCAAAAAUAAUAAUAAUACUUCGAAUAAAAAGAAAUAUUAACAACUAAAAAUGCAGAACCAUGGUGUCCUCAGCUUUCGCGCCAUUUUCGAGUUAAAAUGGAUUAACGACAACCGCCGGUGGUUCUUCCCGAAGAAGACCAAUCUGGUCGUGAUAACUUACAAAUGGGUUUUCACCUUCAAAAUUUCCCGGUGGGUUAUAAACACAAAUCGCAUAAAGGCCGCCGUUUGAACAAUCCACACGUGCGCACCCAACCUUCGUGCUAUCUCUCCACACGAUCUGCGUGUAGUGUCCACACAUUUGCCCCGGCUCACACGUGUUACCAUUAACGUCGUAGAACUUAUUUUCAUCGGCCCACACUUUGACGACAUCAAUGGGCCUCCAGUUAUUCUGUCCGGCCCAAAAUAUGUUUUCUCCGAACGGACCAUUAGAGUGAACAAGCCUGCAGUCUCCGACGCGCUGUCUCGCCCACGCACGUGCAUACGCCGCUAAUCUUCCAUCCCAUUCUAACGGCGGUUCUCCCACGCGCGCUCGUACGAGGUUAUGUGCGUAUAGAAACUCAAUGCUCGCUCUGUUUACUUUGUUACGAUGUCGUCUUCUCCCCCACCUGAAGGAGGAAUGUUUUCCGGUUAACGACAGAGCUGAUGAAGACAGAAAUCGUGAAUUUGGCGCUGACGGAGAGCUGACGGAGGUUUGUUUAGACGACUCGCUGUGAUUGAUUUGGGACGUCGCGGCACAGAGCUGAAGGAGGAAUAACGUAAUGGCGAUGAAUAUGGGAAACGGAGCUAGUAAUUCCCGUUGACGAAGCUCCAUUUUUCUAAAUAGAAAAGAAACAAAAGAG
This 7247-nucleotide long non-coding RNA is filed under the name Brassica napus (rape). Its description in RNAcentral is "long non-coding RNA (BNAP_LNC016702)". The record is from RNAcentral. Lineage: Eukaryota; Viridiplantae; Streptophyta; Magnoliopsida; Brassicales; Brassicaceae.